This 217-nucleotide ribosomal RNA is filed under the name uncultured bacterium. Its description in RNAcentral is "partial 16S ribosomal RNA". It matches the Rfam family "Bacterial small subunit ribosomal RNA", at positions 273 to 504 of the family's 1533-position model. The record is from RNAcentral.
GCAACGAUCGGUAGCCGGACUGAGAGGUUGAACGGCCACAUUGGGACUGAGACACGGCCCAGACUCCUACGGGAGGCAGCAGUGGGGAAUAUUGCACAAUGGGCGAAAGCCUGACCCAGCAACGCCGCGUGAAGGAUGAAGGCUUUCGGGUUGUAAACUUCUUUUAUUCGGGACGAAGAAAAUGACGGUACCGAAUGAAUAAGCCACGGCUAACUAC